This 1279-nucleotide long non-coding RNA is filed under the name Panax ginseng (ginseng). RNAcentral describes it as "long non-coding RNA (PGIN_LNC006580)". Lineage: Eukaryota; Viridiplantae; Streptophyta; Magnoliopsida; Apiales; Araliaceae. The record is from RNAcentral.
AAGGAUCAAAUCUUGAUCAGAUAAGUUACAUAGGUUACAAACCCUAAAAUUAUAAUGAGAACGUUAAGGUUAAGUUAUGAAACCCUAAUCAGUAAUUUUAUGUGUACAUUUGUGAUUUAAGAUCAAUGAUUUAUCAGAUAAGUUAUAACUUUAGCAAACCCAAAAGUUAUGUGAGAAUGUCAAGGAUUACGAUAGUAAACUUUAACGAAUUGUUAGAAACCCUAACGAUCGGAUUGAAAACCCUAAUCUAAUUUCCGAGAAUUCAAAACCCUAAUUCGGAUAUUCAAAACACUAAUUUGGGAAUUUAAGUUAACUUUAUUUGGCUAAGUGUAGAAUGUUAUGAGAUAAAAUGGAAAUGUCCAAAAUACCCUUUAAGUUAUAGAGGAAAAGAAAAAAAUACCCUUAGUGGGUGCGAAAUGACUAAAAUACCCUUUUUCUUAAAAGUUAGGUAAAAGAUUUGUAAAAUCUUGGUGAGUCAUCUAUAUAGACACCACAUGUGUUUUAUAUGAGCAAGUUAUCAGCCAAUUCAUUGCCACCUUCCAACCUUAGAUACAUUGAACCAAAAAUUAAACUUAUAAGUUAAGUAAAGUAACUUACCUUACUUUCCAAAGCAACCUAGACUCUCUAUAUAUAUAAUUUUUGAAAUCUAGAGUGAGAAGGAGUGAGAAACAAAGUUAUGAGCACCACUUAGCUCUUCAAGAACAGCAACAAGGAUCAGAAAUCAAAGAUCAAAGCUAGAAAGGUAUAAAACCAUAAAACUUGAAAAUCUUGUGAUUUAUUGUUAUAUGUUGUUGUUAGAUGGUUAAACUUGUGUUAUGGGAUGUUAUUUAGUGAUCCAAGAUGUAACAUCAAGGAUCCAUAACAUCUAGAUGCUAGAAAUCAAGUUUUUAGAAUUGAUCAAGAACCCUAAAAAUAUGGCCUGACAGCCAUAUGUCAGGGCUCAUAGAUCUCAACCUGUUAAUGAUAUGUUGUGUUUUAAGUUAUAGACUUGUUCUUUGCCAUGAGAAGAGUAGACUGGAAGUGGAAUCACAUCUAUACCAUAUCUGGAUCUCAAGAUAUAGGUGGUCCAACAUGGUUGACUGAAUCUGGGCAGCCCAGAUUUGCCCAGAAUGUUCUGACAUGCUUUUGCAGGCCAUGAAUCUUGCUGUUGUUUGUUAGUUUGGCUAAGUUGUUAUAUUUAUGUUGUAGACUGGUAUGUGAACUACACAUAUAAGUCAUUAGAACACCUAGAACUAUUACAGGAUCAAAGAUAAUCGAGGUCAAACCUGUGUUGACAAAC